GGCUCAGGACGAACGCUGGCGGCGUGCCUAAUACAUGCAAGUGGAACGCAUUUUAAUCACCGUAGCUUGCUACAUCGAUUAAAAUGAGUCGCGAACGGGUGAGUAACGCGUAGGUAACCUACCUUCUAGCGGGGGACAACUAUUGGAAACGAUAGCUAAUACCGCAUAAGACAUUUUAUCGCAUGAUAGGAUGUUAAAAGAUACAACUGUAUCACUAGGAGAUGGACCUGCGUUGUAUUAGCUAGUUGGUGAGGUAACGGCUCACCAAGGCGACGAUACAUAGCCGACCUGAGAGGGUGAUCGGCCACACUGGGACUGAGACACGGCCCAGACUCCUACGGGAGGCAGCAGUAGGGAAUCUUCGGCAAUGGGGGCAACCCUGACCGAGCAACGCCGCGUGAGUGAAGAAGGUUUUCGGAUCGUAAAGCUCUGUUGUAAGCGAAGAAGAGUGUUAGGAGUGGAAAGUCUAACACAUGACGGUAGCUUACCAGAAAGGGACGGCUAACUACGUGCCAGCAGCCGCGGUAAUACGUAGGUCUCGAGCGUUGUCCGGAUUUAUUGGGCGUAAAGCGAGCGCAGGCGGUUAGAUAAGUCAGAAGUUAAAGGCUGUGGCUCAACCAUAGUACGCUUUUGAAACUGUUUAACUUGAGUGCAGAAGGGGAGAGUGGAAUUCCAUGUGUAGCGGUGAAAUGCGUAGAUAUAUGGAGGAACACCGGUGGCGAAAGCGGCUCUCUGGUCUGUCACUGACGCUGAGGCUCGAAAGCGUGGGUAGCGAACAGGAUUAGAUACCCUGGUAGUCCACGCCGUAAACGAUGAGUGCUAGGUGUUAGACCCUUUCCGGGGUUUAGUGCCGUAGCUAACGCAUUAAGCACUCCGCCUGGGGAGUACGACCGCAAGGUUGAAACUCAAAGGAAUUGACGGGGGCCCGCACAAGCGGUGGAGCAUGUGGUUUAAUUCGAAGCAACGCGAAGAACCUUACCAGGUCUUGACAUCCCUCUGACCAGUCUAGAGAUAGACUUUCCCUUCGGGGCAGAGGUGACAGGUGGUGCAUGGUUGUCGUCAGCUCGUGUCGUGAGAUGUUGGGUUAAGUCCCGCAACGAGCGCAACCCUUAUUGUUAGUUGCCAUCAUUAAGUUGGGCACUCUAGCGAGACUGCCGGUAAUAAACCGGAGGAAGGUGGGGAUGACGUCAAAUCAUCAUGCCCCUUAUGACCUGGGCUACACACGUGCUACAAUGGUUGGUACAACGAGUUGCAAGCCGGUGACGGCAAGCUAAUCUCUUAAAGCCAAUCUCAGUUCGGAUUGUAGGCUGCAACUCGCCUACAUGAAGUCGGAAUCGCUAGUAAUCGCGGAUCAGCACGCCGCGGUGAAUACGUUCCCGGGCCUUGUACACACCGCCCGUCACACCACGAGAGUUUGUAACACCCGAAGUCGGUGAGGUAACCUUUUAGGAGCCAGCCGCCGAAGGUGGGAUAGAUGAUUGGGGUGAAGUCGUAACAAGGUAGCCGUAUCGGAAGGUGCGGCUGGAUCACCUCCUUU
This 1537-nucleotide ribosomal RNA is filed under the name Streptococcus zalophi. RNAcentral describes it as "16S ribosomal RNA". It matches the Rfam family "Bacterial small subunit ribosomal RNA". The record is from RNAcentral. Lineage: Bacteria; Bacillati; Bacillota; Bacilli; Lactobacillales; Streptococcaceae.